CCUUCUCCAUGUUGGCUUUCCGUGCUGAUUCCUAAAAUUGUUUUUCAUCCAGUCUUCUGUCAGACCUGGGUUUCUGCUCACCUCUUUUUCCUUCCUGAUGUUCUUUCCUUAAUAUGCCCAGAGUAUCAAGUGCAGGCUGAGUUUCCGGUGUGGGGGGUGUGUGUGUGUGUGUGUGUGAGAGAGAGAGUCCAAACUCCGUGCCUGCUGCCACUCCCACCUCCAGCUCAGCAGGCAUGAAUGAGGCUGUGGCUUCCUGCUCCCUCCUUGUCCCCUCUUCCUUCUAGUUGUCUGGGUAUGAGGCAGCUGUGCCAAUCACAGAGAAGUCAAAUCCACUGACCCGGGACCUAGACAUAGCAGAUGCUGAGAAAAUUGUUCGACUGCUGGGGCAAUGUGAUGCUGAGAUCUUCCAGGAGGAGGGGCAAGCUCUGCCCACAUACCAGAGAUUCUAUAGCGAAUCUGUUUUGACCACCACGGUACAAGUGGCCGGGAAAGUUCAGGAAGUGCUGAAGGUACAACCUUCCUUCUGCUCCCUGCCUCAACUUUUCUGCUUCCCUCUUUCUCUUUCUUUAGUCUCUAUUUCUCACUUUUGCAGAACUCAUUCUCCUUUCUCUCUUUUGGAGAUCCUCCCUUUUGGAUCCUUAUUUUCAUCUUAUUAUUAAUAAUAACUUAGGCUGAACGUGGUGGCUCACGCCUAUAGUCCCCGCACUUUGGGAGGCCGAGGCAGGUGGAUCACGAGGUCAAGAGAUCGAGACCAUCCUGGUCAACAAGGUGAAACCCCGUCUCUACUAAAAAUACAAAAAUUAGCUGGGCAUGGUGGUGCACACCUGUAGUCCCAGCUACUUCGGAGGCUGAGGCAGGAGAGUUGCUUGAACCCAGAAGGCGGAGGUUGCGGUGAGCCAAGAUCGUGCCAUUGUACUCCAGUCUGGGUAACAACAGCGAAACUCCGCCUCAAAAAAAAAAAAAAAAAUAAUAAUAAUAGUAACAAGUUAUCUGCUUAACACUUGUAAUUGACAGUCUACUUUCACAGCUAUUACCUCACAAAAACCGGUGAAGUUGACAUGAUUUUUGUUUGUUUGUUUUUAUCAGGUGAAAAAACAAAGACUUAGAAAGAUAAUCACUGUAGCUUGUCAAAUACACUCAGCUAAUAAUUGCUGGAUAAGGCUGCUUUUAUUAUGUGCUUUUAUUUAGAUGACAAAGCUGCUUUCCUUCUUUCAGGGAUAAGUAAGGAUUUGAAUAAGUAGUGGAGCAAGACCUGGGAGUCAAACUGGUUUCUCUAAUCCGGUGUUCUUUUUCUACACUACACUGCAUGUAUUUGUUCACUUUUGUGAUGAGAGGAGGGAUAAGGAGCCUUUUCAGUUCCUCUUGCAUUACUGACAAAGAAUAUGCUUCCCCCAACCUAAGCCAGGCCCUGGUGAUAUACGCCUUUUUCCUUCUUCAGGAGCCAGAUGUAUUGAGUGGAGGGGGCACCUCUGGCCGGAUGGCAUUCCUCAUGUCAGUGAGCACCGUGGUCCCCGGUUUUCUUACCUCUCCACUUCUUGAGGUGACCCUCAGGACCAUAAAGAUCACCAUAACUGAGCUCCCAGGGCCCCCCUCAUUAGACCUGGACUCCAAGCGUGGCUCUCUCUCUCUUCCAAAAGCUAGGCGUCACCAUGAAGUCCCAUUUCUUCUGAGCCCAUCUGAGUCCCACCAGUCUGUUGUCAAUGUCUCUACAUCCCAUGCACUGCCAACUAAUCAUCCCCAAGUGGCUGCUUUAAGCGCCAGAUUCCAUGUAGGACUGGGUUAAGCACUGGUCUAAGAGAAUCAUUAUAUAGUCUCUGUCCUCUAGGAGUUGAAAAUCCAAGAUAAUUGUUUCUUCUCUGUCAUUACCCCUUCACAUCCUCUCCCCUUCACACAUGUCCUCUAAUCAGCUGAUGAAGGGUCUGGGACAGAAACCUCUUUACACCUACCUCAUUGCAGGGGGUGACAGGUAAGCCAAGUUAGGCUGUGAAUAUUUUGUUUGGCCUGAAUAGUGCUUCUUAGAAAUUGAGCUGAAUGCCUUUAGGCAGAGAUUGAGUCCAGCUUGCCUUAGUCCCCCAUUCCUUACUGCCUUACACUUGGUCCACUUUAUAUACUUAUCUCGCCUGACCGGCUGUUGUAGGUAUUUGGGUUAUUUGGGUUUUUCAACUCUAUGGAGUGUCUAUCAUGGUGCCCAACAAACAGUGGGUGCUCAUUCAAUGAUAGUUUUCCCUUUAUUCCCAUCUCUUAAUGUAGCCUGCCCUAAUAAACCAUAAGCUUCUGCUUCCCAGCCAGUGCCACUGACCUUGACUCUGUGGUGGCCUCUAGGGAGGGGACGGAAGAUAGUGCCUUGCACGCGAUUAAGGAACUGAAAAAGGUCUGUGCUUCCCACUGAUACUUGACCAGAGACCUCUAUCUGUUCCUUCUCAUGGGGACAUAAAAGCCCCAGCAUUCAGCCAAAGCCUAUUCCCUCUCUCCCCUGUUCCUGGCCCUGAUACCCUCACACAGUAGGUUUGUGCCUGGAAUCCUCCCAUUUACACUGCGUUGUCCAUCCUCUUCUCCUAGGUGGAUGCCGGGAAGAAGAGGGUGAUUGUCGUUCACAUUUCUGUGGGACUCUCUGUGAGUAGAAAGAUGGGUUGAGUGGAUGAAUUUUAGAGAGAAGAAGUGAGUGGGAACGGAAUAGCAUGGAAGAUAGAUCAAUGAGGUGGGUGCUAGAAAGCAGGAAGUUUGCUCAAGGAAUUUCGGUUUUCGUUUCACUAACUUGGAUCGAGUUGUAUGAAUGUGGGAAGAUGGGGAAGGGAUUCAAUUUGAGAAUAACUGUAUCAAUCAAUCAGCAACCAAGAGAGGUGGACUGGUCCAAGGGUAAGCAAACUAUACCGGCUGGCCAAUGCAGCCAGCUGCCUGUUUUUUAAAUUUUUUCCUUUUAUUGAGACUGAGUCUUGCUCUGUCACCCAGGCUGCACUGCAAUGGCAUGAUCUCAUCUCGCUGCAGCCUCCACCUCCCAUGCUCAGAUGUGGUUCUAUGCAUGAGCUGUCUGGGGGGAGUGUUACAGAAAAAUAAAAAAGAUUCUUAGUUCCUUGUGCGAGAGGUCUGGUUUUGUAGGUUUGGAGUAAGGCCCUGAAAUAUCUAUUUUUUGAAAGCAUCCCUAGAGAUUCUGAUGCAGAGCCAGAACUGGGGAACUCUGCUAAAUAAACCAUUGGAGUGGGCCACCUGACAAAGCUGAGGGCUUCCUGACACCAGAGGGGUAUGGCAGAGGCUUGUUGAAAAUUUUAGAGCAGCUUUUUUUAUUUAGUGGCGGUCUUGGGAAGGGAGACCAGCGGAUUUUUCAAAGGUGCUUUUCCACCUCCCAGAUUCUAGGCUGUAUAACUCAUGUGAAGGUGUAAAUGAAUCUGAAAUACCCUAACCCUGAUCCUUUUCAUGAGGGCCCUCCUUCACCAAAAAUGUAUCUGCUGCAGUGGAUGCUAAUUUCAGGCCUGAUGACUAAGUGAAAUGAGGAAUUUCAAAACAGUGUAGGCGUGGAGAUCUUCCAGUUGUUUCUUAAAUCAGUAGCUCCCAAACUUGGCUGAUUUUCAGUCAUCUGGGAAGCUUUCUAAAAAUACAGAUUUUGGAGCUCCAUUCCAGAACUACUGAAUCUGAAUCUUAGGGUGGAUGUGGUACCCAGAAAUGGCUAGUUAUUAAAAAACAAAACUCCCCAGAUGAUUUAGAUGCCCAGCUGUGUUUAGGAAUCUAGACGUUAAACCAUCUAAUAUGAACCCUAUCUCUGCUUUCUGCUUUAGUU
Molecule: non-coding RNA, 3772 nt
Organism: Callithrix jacchus (white-tufted-ear marmoset)
Lineage: Eukaryota; Metazoa; Chordata; Mammalia; Primates; Cebidae
Source: RefSeq, a predicted model, not a curated record